This 24-nucleotide non-coding RNA is filed under the name Arabidopsis thaliana (thale cress). The record is from RNAcentral. Lineage: Eukaryota; Viridiplantae; Streptophyta; Magnoliopsida; Brassicales; Brassicaceae.
GUUCCUAGCUGGUGAAAUCGGUGG